GUGUCAGGUCUUAUGCACCUCGGUCAAGUGUCUCACCAAGUCCCACGUUCCUCGGUCAUACUUGUUGCACCAAGUCCCACGCUGAUGUGCCUUGAUGACUGGUUUGGUGCGCCAAGGUCCAGGCGCCUCAAUCAGAGAAUGAUGCACCAAGUCCCAUGCACUAAGCCCAUAAGUUGAUGCACCAAGCUCAUAAGUUGGUGUGUGGGUCACACUCAGAAACUGGUGUAAUGUGCGUGUGGUUCCUCGGUCAGGCCUAUCUUGAUCACGAGCCAUAUUUUCACAGUCAGCAUUGGUUUUGUCUCGGUCAACCCUAAUUUUCCUUCGGUCAUAAGUGC
Molecule: long non-coding RNA, 335 nt
Filed under: Lupinus angustifolius (narrow-leaved blue lupine)
Lineage: Eukaryota; Viridiplantae; Streptophyta; Magnoliopsida; Fabales; Fabaceae
Description: long non-coding RNA (LANG_LNC001772)
Source: RNAcentral